CUGUUUGAAGAGCAGAGCAUGCACCAUCAGCUCCAGCUCCCCACAGUGUCAACAUUAGAUGUGGGUGUGUAACAGAUAUAGUGCAUUCCCAGAGUGUCAUUACCUGAGGAGGACUUGUGAGUAGCUGCCUGUCACCACUGAGGGGGCUGGCCUGAACCUUGUCACCACUUCAAGGAAGUCCCUAUCCCUAGAGGCCUGUCAGCAUGUGAGCAAACUAAAGCCAGAAAUACCUUAAACUCUGCCACAAAAUGUCUGGAAUCGUACAAAAGUUCACAUUUCAAAUAGAACUGCUUUUGGCUGGCGUGUUUCACAUCUAUCACUACUCUACAAUUACGAAGUAAGACAUUUGUGGCCUAGGGGUGCCGUGAAAAAAAAUCUGAGAUUCUAGGGCGCCGUGAUUCAAAAAUGUUUGGAAACCACUGCCCUAAGCAGGUCGUCCUCGUGAGCUGGAUGGCCCUUUACCACUGGUGUCUGGUCGAGUUCGACCAGAACGUCUGGGUGGGGACGUUACAGGUGACACUAAGGGGGUUGUGGUUGCGGAACUGGAACUUGUGUGUUCACCUUGAUGAGUGAGAUGCUGUUUAAGAUCUGCGAGUAGGUUUGAUGGAGCCUGUGAUUCAGUGGGUUGGCCUGGCUGACUUGGCUGAAGAUUGGUGUCUGCUGAAAAGAGAAACCAGUUGUGUG
Pseudophryne corroboree (corroboree frog) is the source of this 684-nucleotide long non-coding RNA. RefSeq lists it as uncharacterized. The transcript has 6 exons. The record is from RefSeq and is a predicted model, not a curated record. NCBI's taxonomy places the organism in Eukaryota, Metazoa, Chordata, Amphibia, Anura, Myobatrachidae.